This 484-nucleotide ribosomal RNA is filed under the name uncultured bacterium. Its description in RNAcentral is "partial 16S ribosomal RNA". It matches the Rfam family "Bacterial small subunit ribosomal RNA", at positions 30 to 507 of the family's 1533-position model. The record is from RNAcentral.
AUUGAACGCUGGCGGCAGGCCUAACACAUGCAAGUCGAGCGGAUGAAGGGAGCUUGCUCCUGGAUUCAGCGGCGGACGGGUGAGUAAUGCCUAGGAAUCUGCCUGGUAGUGGGGGAUAACGUCCGGAAACGGGCGCUAAUACCGCAUACGUCCUGAGGGAGAAAGUGGGGGAUCUUCGGACAUCACGCUAUCAGAUGAGCCUAGGUCGGAUUAGCUAGUUGGUGGGGUAAAGGCCUACCAAGGCGACGAUCCGUAACUGGUCUGAGAGGAUGAUCAGUCACACUGGAACUGAGACACGGUCCAGACUCCUACGGGAGGCAGCAGUGGGGAAUAUUGGACAAUGGGCGAAAGCCUGAUCCAGCCAUGCCGCGUGUGUGAAGAAGGUCUUCGGAUUGUAAAGCACUCUAAGUUGGGAGGAAGGGCAGUAAGUUAAUACCUUGCUGUUUUGACGUUACCAACAGAAUAAGCACCGGCUAACUUCGUG